UAGGGAAUCUUCCACAAUGGACGCAAGUCUGAUGGAGCAACGCCGCGUGAGUGAAGAAGGUUUUCGGAUCGUAAAGCUCUGUUGUUGGUGAAGAAGGAUAGAGGCAGUAACUGGUCUUUAUUUGACGGUAAUCAACCAGAAAGUCACGGCUAACUACGCGCCAGCAGCCGCGGUAAUACGUAGGUGGCAAGCGUUGUCCGGAUUUAUUGGGCGUAAAGCGAGCGCAGGCGGAAUGAUAAGUCUGAUGUGAAAGCCCACGGCUCAACCGUGGAACUGCAUCGGAAACUGUCAUUCUUGAGUGCAGAAGAGGAGAGUGGAACUCCAUGUGUAGCGGUGGAAUGCGUAGAUAUAUGGAAGAACACCAGUGGCGAAGGCGGCUCUCUGGUCUGCAACUGACGCUGAGGCUCGAAAGCAUGGGUAGCGAACAGGAUUAGAUACCCUGGUAGUCCAUGCCGUAAACGAUGAGC
This 467-nucleotide ribosomal RNA is filed under the name uncultured bacterium. RNAcentral's name for it is "partial 16S ribosomal RNA". It matches the Rfam family "Bacterial small subunit ribosomal RNA", at positions 355 to 814 of the family's 1533-position model. The record is from RNAcentral.